Molecule: long non-coding RNA, 272 nt
Filed under: Mustela putorius furo (domestic ferret)
Lineage: Eukaryota; Metazoa; Chordata; Mammalia; Carnivora; Mustelidae
Description: lncRNA (ENSMPUG00000031981.1)
Source: RNAcentral
CGAAAGAUGACACUGGCGUGAUGCAUCACAACUUAAGGGAGUGUUUGCAACAGCCAAGGCCAAAGGGGGUCAUGAUAAAUUGCACAAUCGACGUUGGAUACAGCAUAAUUUCCUUCAAUGAUCAAAGAGGCCUUGGGAGGAAGGUUCUAGUAUCACCCCCGUUUCACAGGUGAGGAAGCUGUGCCUCAUUUAUAUAACCUGCAAGGGUCACCCACUCAGUAAGCCUCAAGCUAAGACUUUGCAAUAUUAAUGAUCACUGCACCUGUAGAAAA